UACGAGGGGGGCAAGCGUUGUUCGGAAUUAUUGGGCGUAAAGGGCGCGUAGGCGGUGCGGUAAGUCACCUGUGAAAACUCUGGGCUCAACUCAGAGCCUGCAGGCGAAACUGCCGUGCUUGAGUGUGGGAGAGGUGCGUGGAAUUCCCGGUGUAGCGGUGAAAUGCGUAGAUAUCGGGGAGGAACACCUGUGGCGAAAGCGGCGCACUGGACCACAACUGACGCUGAGGCGCGAAAGCUAGGGGAGCAAACAGG
Molecule: ribosomal RNA, 254 nt
Filed under: uncultured bacterium
Lineage: Bacteria
Description: partial 16S ribosomal RNA
Rfam family: Bacterial small subunit ribosomal RNA
Source: RNAcentral